This 3705-nucleotide long non-coding RNA is filed under the name Pan troglodytes (chimpanzee). Its description in RNAcentral is "long non-coding RNA NONPTRT010148". The record is from RNAcentral. Lineage: Eukaryota; Metazoa; Chordata; Mammalia; Primates; Hominidae.
GGUUUCCAUUCGAGUCUAUGAAAGCACUUGUACUUCCUCCAGGAAGUUAACUGGCUUCCCUGUAUCCCCUUGUACACAUCACUACAAUUCAUUCAUUAAACAAACAUUUAUUGAGUGCUUUCUAGGUGCCAGGCACCAAGCCAGGCACUGUUAAUACAAAAAUUCCAACACAAUCCUUGCCCUCAAGGAGCUUACAGUCUACUGGGGAGAUGACCAUUAUGCAGGCAAGUGAGCGCAGAGUGAUCUGUGUAGUAUGCCAGGGUGGGGGUCGGGAGGAGAGGGUAUAGCCAAAGCUCCUUGGAGGAAGUCAAGUCUAAGUUGAGAUUUGACAGAGAAAGUACCCUUUCUCUGUGACCAAAAGAAAGGAGGAAUCAGAGUGGCAAUGGAGAGCCACUGCAUCUCUGGAUACAGGAGGCUGUCACGAUAAUCCAGGUGAAAGCUGAUGACAGUGGGAGUGGCUCAAAUCAAGAGAUGUUAAGGUAGACCUGACCGUUUUGAGAGAUUGGAUGUGGUGGGCAGAAAGAGAAAACAGGAAUAGAAUAAGUUUCCUGUCUGGCUCCUGAGUGAUCUCGGGGUCAAGGGAAGUACCCAGAAGGGGCAGGUUUGCAGAAGACAGCAAGUACCAUCUGGGCCAUGGACCUGAAUUGUCUGUGCACCUAGAGGGCAGCAAAACUGUGGUUCAGGUGAUCAGGAAGGAUGUUGGGGCUGGAAGUCAACUCUAAAUUCCUCACCAUCCUUGAAACCAUCCAGAUGGAUGGGCUUCCCUAGGGAGCCCACAGCAGAACCCUGAAAGACCCUACUGUGCAUGGGCAAGUGGAGAAGCCUGCACGGAAGCCUGAAAGGAACAGCCAGGGAGGUAAGACAACUAGCCACAGAGGUGCCAGGGAAGUGCCAUCCAAGAAGCAAGGGGUGAUCAGCCAUGUCAAAUGCUGCCCACAUCCAGUAAGACAGGAAAGGGGUCUGCUGGAUUUAGCAACCCCUGGGAGAACACUGGCAGUAGAGUGGAGGGGGCGAAGCCACAUCAUCAAGGUGAGGGACCAAGCAGCAGAGGGAGGAAAGUAGGGCCAGCUGUCAGCCCAAUGGGAGGAUGAUGCAGGCUGCCAGUAUCCCCUGCCUUGUCUAUCCUGGUGUGCAGAAGAGAAAAGGGCCUGGCAAUCUCGUUCACACUAAGAGGAGACCAACAUGUGCUCUUCCUCUCAGGGAAAGGGGAAAGCUGGUAUUCUUAAGAGAAGGUAAAUGCUAAAGCCAAGGAAAUGAAGGGCUAUGAUGGAACUCCAGGCAUGAUAUAGAGGAAAUAUUUUCAAGCACAGGGGUUUUUCCAGUGGCUUAAAUGUAUCACAUGUGUACAGUUCAUCUCUGUACCUGCCAGCCUCACUUUGAGGUAUAGAACAUGGCCAGAAAUGGCUCUCAUAGGGACUUCAUUCCAAUAUGUACUGUUGAGCACUUGCAAGGCACUAUAGUUGGAGUGCAAGGUCAACAAAUGCAGGUCUGUGCCCAAGACCUGGCCUGCCUUCUUAGAAGGCAGAUAUAUCGCCCCAGGAGCCAAGAGUGCACAGAAGGGCCAGGCCUUGGAUGCUCUUAGAGUGACAAACAGCUUCUCCCAUGAGUCCCAUUUCUUUAAAAACAGGCUGCCUGGAAGCUAAUUUUUAUUUUGUUUCUCCUUGAGCCUAAGAUAGUAUUCAGCCAGAAACCACUCCUUUUCCCAGAGGAAGAUUUAUAAAUAGGAUAUUGUAGAUGUUCUUCUGAAAAUCUAGCCCAGUCCUAAAUUGUCCCCUCUCCUACUCCCAGUUUGACAGUCACGGAGCCUUGGGGAAAGAGAUGGAAGAGAGUGCAUCAGAGUGGCUGCCUAUAGCCCCACUUCCCACUCCUUGAGCAGGCUCAGCUCCUCACCCCUGCCCCCUUCCCAUUAAGGGCCACAAGAACAGUCCCUUGGGAAGGGCAAGACCCAAACCCAGAAAAGGAGUCCCUGGAGCAGAAAAGUGAGUCCAGUCCAGAGCAGAAGGUUAGCAGGAAGAAAGGAAGAUGAACUGUCAGGGUAUUAAGGCAAGCAGUGCCACCUAGAAGCGAAGCUUUAUUCAAACGGAAAUCCGCACUUGGACAGAAAUCACCGUUCAACAGCAAAAACUAUUUCUGUUGGACAUGCCAAGCCAUGGCCCCUCCCCAUGGCCACCUGCCCAGAGAACUUGUCACCAUCUGCUCUUAAGCUUCACAGACCCUGCCCUGCCUGCCCCAGCGGGGCCAGAACCUCCUGACCCACCUUGGAAGGGACAGGGGAGGACUGAGGGACCUCGGCCUCCUGGCUAAGCAGGCUCUGCCACCCUCCUUGGUGCCCUUUGAGGUUACAGCCUCUUGAAGCAUCAGAUCUGAGCCAAGCUGAGCCCCCCAAGGAGGGUGGGGAUGGGGCUUCAGAGUUGAGGGGAGGAAAGCCAGGGCAGGUGGUAGGUGCCUUCCCGACUUCCGGUCCCCACCUGGCAUAGAGGCCCAGGGGCCUGACUCUCCUGAUCUUGCCCCCACAUCCUGCCUGCAUGGGGGUCAGUAUAUCUUCUGACGACUGGGUAGAAUGGCCUCUUUGAUGAAGGAGAAGACAACCAGGAUCCCUAAGCGUUUGCCCCGCUUGCCUUUGGUGAAAUAAUUGGAGACGACAUCAUCUGUGGAGAUACAGGCAAGAAUAUGAGAGAGAGAGAGAGAGUGUGUGUGUGUGCGCAUGUGUGUGAACACGGCCCUCCCAACCCCGAGUCCAGGUGUCUCCAACACAGGGCUAGACUCAGGUUCCCUCAGUGGACCCCUGCCAACCCAGGCCUUGCUGGCUUGCCCCCACCUCGGCCCCUUACAAAUCCCUUCUCACCUCCUGGCUGCAUGGUAGAGGGCAGGACGUUCUCCCCGGCCGAAAGUGACACAAAAAACGCAAACGGAAUUAUCCACAGGCAGAAAGUGAAAUAGGCCAGGACCUGGCAACAAGAGAGACUGAGAAGAGGGUGCCCCGGAGGUGCCAAGAGUGGGCUGGGUGUGGUGACUGCGUGUUGGUCAAGAGUGCACAGGGGGCCACACCUGAUCUCCAAAGGGGGCCCAGGCCUGGGAAGCAGGGAACGCCACCCUCAGACAUGGAAAUCCUUCUGUGGGGAAAGGUGGAGGCUGAAAAUGACUGAAUGUGGCCACAAACCCCACAUCUUGGUCGCUAGGACAAGCAACUCCCCUGGACUGAAGGAGGCAGACAAAGUGCUAAGCCAUGACUGACUGACCCACACUCCCCAAAGAAGUGACCUUGCUCUUCCCAGAGGUUCAAACUGGAGCAGCAGGGUGUGGAGAAAUCAUGGGAGAAGAAAACCUUGGCAGCCACUGGGAAAAGCUGGGGCUCAGGGGUGCAGUCCAUCCCUGCCCUGUGAGGACUGUGUCAGAGAAGGUCACCCUAGUACCCCUUCCUGACCUCAGGAUGACCCCUCGAGGGGGACCCAAAGGACUCACUGAAGAAGAGCAGUGUCCUCCCCACCUCGGCCAAAGGAGCACAGUCUGUCCCCAUCCACACAGCUUUCUCAAACCAUCUAUGUUUUGUUUUUUUCAAACAUGUAAUCCUUGAACAGAUUCAGUUUCAAAUCAUAGCUAAGUUUAUAAAGUAAACCAUGCAAGUUCCCUUUUACUACCCUGUCCCUGUUAACAGCUGAAUGUGCUGGAUACUUCUUACCUCUGAGAAGGGAUAAUAUUCUUCUG